Molecule: transfer RNA, 84 nt
Filed under: Dreissena polymorpha
Lineage: Eukaryota; Metazoa; Mollusca; Bivalvia; Myida; Dreissenidae
Description: transfer RNA leucine (anticodon CAG)
Rfam family: tRNA
About the family: Transfer RNA (tRNA) molecules are approximately 80 nucleotides in length. Their secondary structure includes four short double-helical elements and three loops (D, anti-codon, and T loops).
Source: Rfam by way of RNAcentral
GUCAGGAUGACCGAGCGGUCCAAGGCGCUGCGUUCAGGUCGCAGUCUGGUUCUCCAGGUGUGGGUUCAAAUCCCACUCCUGACA